GAUGAAGAACGCAGCGAAAUGCGAUAAGUAGUGUGAAUUGCAGAAUUCCGUGAAUCAUCGAAUCUUUGAACGCACAUUGCGCCCCCUGGUAUUCCGGGGGGCAUGCCUGUCCGCGCGUCAUUGCAACCCUCAAGCGCGGCUUGCGUGUUGGGUCCUCGCCGAAUCCCCCAUUCCGGGGGGGCAGGCGGGCCCGAAAGGCAGUGGCGGCGUCCCGACAUGGGUGCCUGAGUGAAUGGGAAGACUGUCCGCUCUGAAGGCCCCGACGGCGCCGGUCGACAAACUGAAUCUAGUUAUUCCGGUUGACCUCGGAUCAGGUAGGAGUACCCGCUGAACUUAAGCAUAUCAAUAAGCGGAGGA
This 357-nucleotide unclassified non-coding RNA is filed under the name soil metagenome. RNAcentral describes it as "partial contains 5.8S ribosomal RNA, internal transcribed spacer 2, and large subunit ribosomal RNA". The stretch from base 1 to 120 matches the Rfam family "5.8S ribosomal RNA", at positions 35 to 154 of the family's 154-position model. The record is from RNAcentral.